AAGGCGUAGUCGAUGGGAAACGGGUUAAUAUUCCCGUACUUGGUGUUACUGCGAAGGGGGGACGGAGAAGGCUAUGUUGGCCGGGCGACGGUUGUCCCGGUUUAAGCGUGUAGGCUGGUUUUCCAGGCAAAUCCGGAAAAUCAAGGCUGAGGCGUGACGACGAGGCACUACGGUGCUGAAGCAACAAAUGCCCUGCUUCCAGGAAAAGCCUCUAAGCAUCAGGUAACAUCAAAUCGUACCCCAAACCGACACAGGUGGUCAGGUAGAGAAUACCAAGGCGCUUGAGAGAACUCGGGUGAAGGAACUAGGCAAAAUGGUGCCGUAACUUCGGGAGAAGGCACGCUGACACGUAGGUGAAGUGAUUUACUCAUGGAGCUGAAGUCAGUCGAAGAUACCAGCUGGCUGCAACUGUUUAUUAAAAACACAGCACUGUGCAAACACGAAAGUGGACGUAUACGGUGUGACGCCUGCCCGGUGCCGGAAGGUUAAUUGAUGGGGUCAGCGCAAGCGAAGCUCCUGAUCGAAGCCCCGGUAAACGGCGGCCGUAACUAUAACGGUCCUAAGGUAGCGAAAUUCCUUGUCGGGUAAGUUCCGACCUGCACGAAUGGCGUAAUGAUGGCCAGGCUGUCUCCACCCGAGACUCAGUGAAAUUGAACUCGCUGUGAAGAUGCAGUGUACCCGCGGCAAGACGGAAAGACCCCGUGAACCUUUACUAUAGCUUGACACUGAACAUUGAGCCUUGAUGUGUAGGAUAGGUGGGAGGCUUUGAAGUGUGGACGCCAGUCUGCAUGGAGCCGACCUUGAAAUACCACCCUUUAAUGUUUGAUGUUCUAACGUGGACCCGUGAUCCGGGUUGCGGACAGUGUCUGGUGGGUAGUUUGACUGGGGCGGUCUCCUCCUAAAGAGUAACGGAGGAGCACGAAGGUUGGCUAAUCCUGGUCGGACAUCAGGAGGUUAGUGCAAUGGCAUAAGCCAGCUUGACUGCGAGCGUGACGGCGCGAGCAGGUGCGAAAGCAGGUCAUAGUGAUCCGGUGGUUCUGAAUGGAAGGGCCAUCGCUCAACGGAUAAAAGGUACUCCGGGGAUAACAGGCUGAUACCGCCCAAGAGUUCAUAUCGACGGCGGUGUUUGGCACCUCGAUGUCGGCUCAUCACAUCCUGGGGCUGAAGUAGGUCCCAAGGGUAUGGCUGUUCGCCAUUUAAAGUGGUACGCGAGCUGGGUUUAGAACGUCGUGAGACAGUUCGGUCCCUAUCUGCCGUGGGCGCUGGAGAACUGAGGGGGGCUGCUCCUAGUACGAGAGGACCGGAGUGGACGCAUCACUGGUGUUCGGGUUGUCAUGCCAAUGGCACUGCCCGGUAGCUAAAUGCGGAAGAGAUAAGUGCUGAAAGCAUCUAAGCACGAAACUUGCCCCGAG
This 1412-nucleotide ribosomal RNA is filed under the name Salmonella enterica subsp. enterica. Its description in RNAcentral is "partial 23S ribosomal RNA". It matches the Rfam family "Bacterial large subunit ribosomal RNA", at positions 1406 to 2803 of the family's 2925-position model. The record is from RNAcentral. Lineage: Bacteria; Pseudomonadati; Pseudomonadota; Gammaproteobacteria; Enterobacterales; Enterobacteriaceae.